UCUACCUGGAAAAUUGGUCUCUGAAAACCUAUACACCCUUGCGGUGACACUCUCCGGCCUCACCAUCGGGUGUCACCAGCAUUUUUUUUUCAUCUGUUUUCUUUUCUUCCUUCUUUCCUUCCUUUCUGCCUGUUUCGACCAUUCAGCUCCGUCUUGUAUACUUUUGUAUAAGUAGUAAUAAAACUUUAAAUGGAAAAAAUUAAGCGGGGUAGACGGGAGACUUGAACAAUAAUAAGGCGCUAAGUGUGUCAGGGAGUUCCGAGAGGAAUGGGAGGAAGGCUCCGAGCUCGGGUGGGUCAUCUUGAAAUUCGGAGUCCGGGAUGCCGGUCUGGGUGUUAAUCACUGCCCGGGGUCACCUCCCUCAGUGAGUGACUGGGAGCGAGUAAAGUCUUAUGUAACUGGGGACUGUAGUGGACCUGCACUAUAAAAGUGUGUUUAAGUAAUUCAGAUGCUUUGGUGGAGACUUUCUUGGAACUUCUUGGGGGCGGCUCUGGCUCAGGGGACAACAGCCUACACCCUCUCCCUUCUCCCACAGGUUCACCGCAUAGGUUCUUUUUUUUUUUUUUUUUUUUUUUUCUACUUUUCCCUCUUCUGGCCCUGACAUUUGGAAGUCCCCAACAGACUAGGUAGCAAUGGGUCAAAAGGCCCAUUUUUUUUUUUUUUUGGCGGCCCAAAAUUAGUCAGCCCCAAGAGAUAAACCCAUGCUGAUCAUGGGGGCAAAAUAAAUUUCUAAAACGAGGGUACCUUUUGUUCUGUUUUUGUCUUUAAACAAAAUAAAAUAAACAACAACAAAAACAAGGCUGCACAAGACAAUUCGACUCCGGCGGCCUGGAAGCAAAAAAGAGGUGGACUCGCGUUUUUUCGGCCUCUUAGUCACUUCUUGUCCGCGCUCCCUGAAGGCCAAAUGCCCUCAACCUCAGCCAAGCCACGGCACAAAAAUCUCCCCUGAUAAUUCCCUGCCGCCAAUGCUCCCUACAAAUCGGAGGCUUGGGAGUGUCGCCCGGUUCCCCGGGCCGCAAGGCUGUGGGCGGGACUGAUGUCCGGGUGGCCGCCGAGGACUCCGGCUUCUGAACCUCUUAGGAAAAACACCGGAGCCCCCGGCGCCCGCCGCGCUAGUCCAGAGUGCCUCAACCGCCACCCGGCUCCCGUAAGCUGGACUCCGGCGGAGAAACUGAGGCAAAGCAGCCCUGGACAGCACCUCGCGCCCUGGAAGGAACCCUCGAGGCGAGCAACAUGGGGUCCUGUGGGUAGUUCUUAAAUCGGGAGCCGGGACACGUCUGCUCACCGCGAGGUCCCACGGACAGUUCGCGACGCCGACCCCUGCGAGGGCUUAGCCGGUGUAAAUGGCCCUGUCUGAGUGCUUGCGGAGUCUUUGACACUAGUUCCCUUCGCUGCCCCCGAGGUAGGUGUCCGCAAGACUCACUCCAGUCCCCCGCGGCCAUGGUGCCACAGGCGCGCUACUCUAGCUCGCCUCGACGCCCACUCCCGCCUUUUCGCAUCUGUGCGCAAAGUCCGCCUUGGCCCGGGCGACCUUGCUGUCCCACCAAGCAGAUCGGCGAUGCAACUAGGACAGUGCCAGGUGUAAGGGACGAUGGUCAGCGAGGUCCUCCUAGGCCCUCGGGAGACCUCGUUACCAUUCCCACCCACGCUGUGCACUGUUCGGUCUUGAGACAGUAGCAGCUGCGGGUCCGGGGGAAUGCCACACACUGCGGUGCCAAGGGAACACCCGGGGGGCCGGGGGCUACUACCGAAGGCAACCCUGGAUGGGAGGCUGUCACCUAUGGAGAACACACAACUGGGGCUGCACCGAGGGACGUGAUGGUGACCAACAGACUGGAAAGGGGACUUAAGAUCGACAAAGGGCAGUGGUGGCUGGACCUGGGGGCUUUCAGGGAGUCUCCACUGCACUCCAUCUUAGCCACUCCCACACCGGCUGCUAAAUCCUGCGGCUGAAGGAGCACUCCCGGCUGGACUCACGUAAAGCAUUUGGAAGCGCGCAGCCCCCAAAGGCCACGGUAGACUGCCGGCUGGUGGCAAUUUAGCAUAGAGUGGGUGUUGAGGGGCAUUAAAUGGCCUCUUUGUGAAUUGAGGCAAAGGCAAACACACACACACACACACACACACACACACACACACACACACACGUCCCCUGACCUCCAGCACCCACCACCCGGAUUAGGUUUGAGGAGUGUUGAAGGAUCCAAUAGUGCAGCCAAGGCAGUCCUAGGAAGAGGUGUGCGGCCUUUAAAAACCUGGAACAUCCGAAGUAAAGAGGGGAGUUCAUCCCGCUUUAACCUUUCGUCCCUGCCAGGCUUUUGCAUGUUUGGUCGAAGUCUAGUGGGGGUGGAAAGUCCUAACACAAAGGGAGCAGGAAGGGGGAGUAGUACAUACAUACAUACAUACAUACAUACAUACAUACAUACACACACACACACACACACACACACACACACACACACACACACACGAUAAAACUGCAAUAGAAAUACUGCACAGGCAGGAGUGCCACUGGGCAGUAGCCAUUCUAGGGCGUCUCACCUGAGCCCUCAGGGAUGGCUGUUUGAGGGAGCGUUCUAAAAGUGUUCUAAAAGAAAGGAAGAGGUGCGAAUUAGGGUCGCCCCUCCUGACCCCUUGCCCCCCAAAAACCUGAAUACGGUUUUGGAGCCAGGUGCCCUGGGCGGUCUGGCAGGUGUGUGGUUCACGUGAAACACACUCACGUGCAGGCUUGGGAGACGCGUGCCAAGUACGCUUGGAGCCACAAGCGUGGACACUAGAGGCUCUUACAAGUACACAGACCACUGGGUCAGGAACUUCCGUGGACGCUCACUGUAGUACGCGUGCUAGGACUUCCUCACCUCUGCCUGCGCAGGGGAGGGAUUGAGAGUGUAGGGACUCCGAGGCCGGACGUCGGGCUUCUUUAUGUGGAUGUGUGCCCCCUGCAGCCUCUGUGGAGUGGUAGGCCUAGACAUGCGCAGACGCUAGAGACUGGUUGGAGCCAAACAGCUGGAUCCUGUUUAGGUGUGUGCCUGUCCAAAAAGCCCUACUGAGGUGUCUUGGGAGCCUGCAUUCUGCAUUGCAUACUGUUCCCUGCCUGUGCGUCCUACUCUCUAGCAGCGGCCACGUGUGCCCGGGUUGCUGGUGAGACCCAGAAGAGCUGGGAUCUGGGCUCUGAGUCGGCCAAAGGGGCAGGGCCCGCACCCUGCAGGCUUCGGAGCGUUGUCGUCGGAGCAGUGUUGGUUUUGGCCAAGGCAACUCCAAUGGGGGAAGCCCCGGGAGCCGGCGGGGGUGGAACAAAGGAGGGGAAAGCUAAAGAAGGCGGCUGAAAGGAGGACGGAAGCACCCUGGAACGCUGAGGGCCCCUGGGGGUAGGGGUGCAGAUGCAUAGAGAUGGUGGGGCCUGACCAGGCACAGUGGUGGGACCCAGAAGGCACUGUGCCUCUACAGCCACGUGUGCACGCCUGGCACAGACUUCUUACUGCUAGAGAGGGCCUGAGUCUACCAACUGGAUCCCCACAAGGCCACAGGCAAACCACAUGGCCACCCCAGUCAUACACACGCAUUUCAGACCCUCAAUUCGCGCCCUCCAAUGGCCCCACAGCAGCCUGUCCCUUUUUGUGUUGCUUUGGUUGUUUUUAUCAGUGGGGGGUGACUGGUUGGGUUUCUUGGUUUGGAUUUGGGUUUUGGUUUUUCUGAGACAAGAUUCUCACUCUGGUCCAGCCUAGUAUGCAACUAUGUAUACCACACUGGCCUCACACUGUGGCAAUCUUCCUCUGCCCCAGCAUCUACCGCCUGAGUGUUGGGAUUGCAGGCGCACACCACCCUGCGUGGAACUUCAUCGAUUCCAGUGCCUAUCAGAACACCAUUUGGAGCCAGAGAGCAUCUGGAUUAGAGGGCACAGUUCAACUUGGCACAGUUCAACUCUCCCCAGCUACGGACAGUUUGAUGACCCUUGAGCAAGAGCUGCAGGGGGUCCACCAGUUUGCAGCUCUCAGAGGUGACAGAACAGAUCAUGUGACAAAGCCUCCCCACUGUGUCAGCUCAAUGGCCCAGUCCUUGCUGGUAUUUAGGUGACCUCCACCCCCAGGAAAGUGACUAAAGACCUCCCCGGAAUGGAGGACCUGAGGCCUGGCUGACGUAAUGCCCUAUAACCAUUUCUCUCUUCUGACCUCCUAGCAGAAGACGUGGAGACCUGGAGAAGAAAGACUGAGAAAAGAGGAAGGAGCAAAAUAAGAAGAGCUGCGGUGCAGCUCAGUGGAGGGGCACUGCCUGACCUGAUCAAGGCCCUGGAUUAAAUCCUCCAGCAUUUAAAAAAAAAAAAAAAAAAAAAAGCAAGCCAGGGAAGGUUAGAGGAAAUCAUGACAGCAAGGUUGACACAGGUUAUUUCAGGGGACUUGGGGACUUGGAAGGGUGUUAGGGCCUCAAGGUGGGAUCAGUACAUACCAUGUUAUAGUCACAGUCAGGUUGGGAUUGAUGCCAGCCACCUCCUAGAAACGCGGUCAAAUAACAGGUCCCAUGCUCUGAGCUGACCUGGAGGGUUCAACCCUUUAGGACAUAACAGGCCCCAUUCUCAGAACUGACCUGGAGGGUUCAACCCCUUAGGACACACCAGGAACCCCAAACACAGCUGAAAAACAGCCAGGUCAAAGUCACUAUCCAGGAAUUCUAGUCAGUGUGGAUCUCAGCUUCUCCAGUUACUCUGCUUCCCUCUAUGGGUAGGGAAACUGAGGCUGGGGAGACUUAUCUAA
Molecule: non-coding RNA, 4745 nt
Organism: Rattus norvegicus (Norway rat)
Lineage: Eukaryota; Metazoa; Chordata; Mammalia; Rodentia; Muridae
Source: RefSeq, a predicted model, not a curated record